UUGACCUCGGAUCAGGUAGGAKUACCCGCUGAACUUAA
This 38-nucleotide ribosomal RNA is filed under the name Dirina fallax. Its description in RNAcentral is "partial large subunit ribosomal RNA". Lineage: Eukaryota; Fungi; Ascomycota; Arthoniomycetes; Arthoniales; Roccellaceae. The record is from RNAcentral.